RNAcentral lists this non-coding RNA (66 nucleotides) under unclassified sequences. RNAcentral describes it as "DUF3800-IX RNA". It matches the Rfam family "DUF3800-IX RNA". From Rfam's summary of the family: Actinobacteria, Firmicutes (1 example), Nitrospirae, Proteobacteria, Verrucomicrobia (1 example). The record is from Rfam by way of RNAcentral.
UACUGCCCUGCGAAGAGUCGCCGAUUGUGGCGGCCUGUUCAAAAUGAACUAGCAGGGCAGUUUUCA